UGUUGCCUCACCAUGUGCCACGCUGGGAGCCGUCCUCCCGGGUUCCUGCUCAUCUCCUGCAGCACUGUCAGGACAUCUUGAGGCCGUAUCUUGGCGGGAUCCAGUGUGUACGCCAGGAACCUGAGGUAGUGGACAAUAUUCUUGAGGGUUACGUUUAUAGGCAUGGGACUGGAUCCAGGAGAAAUAGAAAUGGUACUGGGUGGAAUGACUCUCUCUGUACUGAGUUCUCAAGCCUUUUCCCAGAAUUGCAGGGCUGUAGUAGCAGAGGCACAGAUGAUAGAGGCUCAAUUCAAGGGCUAGUGAACCGUUGAUGGUGCCAGCCCUAAGGAGGGAGAAACCAGCCUCAGCAUGGAAGACCAGCAACACAACCUCAAGACACCUACCUGCUUUCCAGCAAGAUUGUAAGAGAUUAUUGAGUUCAAAGAUGAAACAUUCUAAAAUUGGGAAACUAAACUUGAGAAAAGUAUAAAAUAUGCAAGAAAUGAGAAGGUAGACUUUAUAGUGCUUAAGUUUAAUGCUGAAUUAAGAAGAAAUUAAUAUAUUCUGAGGUGGGUGUGUAAUAAAGAAGUCUUGAGUAAACCUGAAAGGUACAAUAUGCUAUGUGCAGAAAAUGUCAAGAAACCUGGAAUUAGAAUCAGCUAACAUGACUGAAAUUUAAAUCAUUCAGUGCAAAACUAAUCAUGCAUGUUAAGUGGAGUAAAAAUAUAAAAAUAUAUAAUUUAUAUGAUUGGUCAAAGAUUAAAUAUUCACACAUUUUUCAAUGCUCACACAUUUUUCAAUGCUUCAAAUGACUUUAAUGUAAUCAAUACGCCUUAACCAACUAUAAUUCCCUGGAAGAUUUAAGGGGUUUAGAUUAUUCAUAGAUUAUUCAACUGAUUUCAAGUAUUUUCAUAUAGUUGCCAUUACAGUAAGAGAGGACAACAGCUAAAAGCUGAUAACACGGAGGACCAGAAAUAGGCAGCCACCUACAACACUAUUAGAAUCUGUGACAUAUAUAUGCUUGCUUGCACGCACGCAUGGACACACACACAUAUGUAUGCAAACACACACACACACACACACACACACACACACACACAUGCGUGUGCACCCGCAAAUGCACAUGCACACACCUUCAACUUUCCACUCCACACAACUGCCGUCACCAACACUAUAACAUAAACUGCAACCACAACCUCACACUUGCAACCAUCACAACCAUAAACUUGUCAAUUACUAGUGUAACAACACACACACACGCUGUGUGAGUGGUCUCAGCCCUACCCAAAGAUCGGUACUAUGAGCUCUGUGCUCUUCCAUAGGGGAACGGCUGGCUGUCUCGAGAGAGACCCGCAGCAGACCAAGAGGUGAAUUACACACACACUACUUAAUACAUAAAACACCGUUCACCUCCAAAACUACCAUGUGACAUUAUAAUAACUAAACAUUCUUUUAUCUUACUAUAAAAACAAAACACAUACCUGUCAUCAACAGGACAACAAUAAAUCCUAGAAGCAAAUAGCCAAAACGACAUAAGAAAUCUGACAUAUGACACUAUCAUGAUAUAUCAAAGUCCAUAUAAUCUAUUCACAAUAGAUGGGAUCAAUCAUCUAAAAGAUUAAUGAACAACUAAAGGACUUUCAGCAUGUCACCUGCCAAGGUGUGCUGUGGAUGUAAGGUGACUAACUGCCGUAUUUUUUUGUGCACAAGACACUUUUUCCCCCAAAAUUGGAGGUCACUCGCACAUGCUCUUGGUUAUAAAUGUUUAUAAACUACUUACCUUAGCUCACCUCUUAUACAAGAUAGACAAUUUC
This is a long non-coding RNA of Eriocheir sinensis (Chinese mitten crab), 1793 nucleotides long. RefSeq lists it as uncharacterized. The record is from RefSeq and is a predicted model, not a curated record. The transcript has 3 exons. Lineage: Eukaryota; Metazoa; Arthropoda; Malacostraca; Decapoda; Varunidae.